RNAcentral lists this ribosomal RNA (753 nucleotides) under Salmonella enterica. RNAcentral's name for it is "partial 23S ribosomal RNA". It matches the Rfam family "Bacterial large subunit ribosomal RNA", at positions 2190 to 2925 of the family's 2925-position model. The record is from RNAcentral. Lineage: Bacteria; Pseudomonadati; Pseudomonadota; Gammaproteobacteria; Enterobacterales; Enterobacteriaceae. RNAcentral also lists the same sequence under 1 other name.
CCUUGAAAUACCACCCUUUAAUGUUUGAUGUUCUAACGUGGACCCGUAAUCCGGGUUGCGGACAGUGUCUGGUGGGUAGUUUGACUGGGGCGGUCUCCUCCUAAAGAGUAACGGAGGAGCACGAAGGUUGGCUAAUCCUGGUCGGACAUCAGGAGGUUAGUGCAAUGGCAUAAGCCAGCUUGACUGCGAGCGUGACGGCGCGAGCAGGUGCGAAAGCAGGUCAUAGUGAUCCGGUGGUUCUGAAUGGAAGGGCCAUCGCUCAACGGAUAAAAGGUACUCCGGGGAUAACAGGCUGAUACCGCCCAAGAGUUCAUAUCGACGGCGGUGUUUGGCACCUCGAUGUCGGCUCAUCACAUCCUGGGGCUGAAGUAGGUCCCAAGGGUAUGGCUGUUCGCCAUUUAAAGUGGUACGCGAGCUGGGUUUAGAACGUCGUGAGACAGUUCGGUCCCUAUCUGCCGUGGGCGCUGGAGAACUGAGGGGGGCUGCUCCUAGUACGAGAGGACCGGAGUGGACGCAUCACUGGUGUUCGGGUUGUCAUGCCAAUGGCACUGCCCGGUAGCUAAAUGCGGAAGAGAUAAGUGCUGAAAGCAUCUAAGCACGAAACUUGCCCCGAGAUGAGUUCUCCCUGAGACUUAGAGUCUCCUGAAGGAACGUUGAAGACGACGACGUUGAUAGGCCGGGUGUGUAAGCGCAGCGAUGCGUUGAGCUAACCGGUACUAAUGAACCGUGAGGCUUAACCUUACAACGCCGAAG